AGGAUGAACGCUGGCGGCGUGCUUAACACAUGCAAGUCGAGCGAAGCGCCUUAACGGAAUUCUUCGGAAGGAAGAUAAGGGGACUGAGCGGCGGACGGGUGAGUAACGCGUGGGUAACCUGCCUUAUACAGGGGGAUAACAGCUGGAAACGGCUGCUAAUACCGCAUAAGCGCACGGCACUGCAUGGUGCAGUGUGAAAAACUGAGGUGGUAUAAGAUGGACCCGCGUCUGAUUAGGUAGUUGGUGGGGUAACGGCCUACCAAGCCGACGAUCAGUAGCCGACCUGAGAGGGCGACCGGCCACAUUGGGACUGAGACACGGCCCAAACUCCUACGGGAGGCAGCAGUGGGGAAUAUUGCACAAUGGGGGAAACCCUGAUGCAGCGACGCCGCGUGAGCGAUAAAGGGUUUCGGCUCGUAAAACUCUGUUGUUAAGGAAGAAUACUUGAGGUAGUAACUGGCCUUGAGAUGACGGUAC
Molecule: ribosomal RNA, 477 nt
Filed under: uncultured bacterium
Lineage: Bacteria
Description: bacterial SSU rRNA
Rfam family: Bacterial small subunit ribosomal RNA
Source: RNAcentral